UUACUUAAACAAUUAUAUUCAUACAACUGACCCAAAAAAAACUAUGACAAUAUAACCUAUGUAUCACAAAAUCAUGGUCUCCCCCUUAGUCACUUUGACCUUCUUUGAAAGAUCAUCAAAGGCUGUUGGAAGUCCUUCUGAAUUAUUUGCAAUACACUCACUCCUACAUCAAUAGUAGGAUCUACCAUAUCAAUAUCAGUAUGAGCUAAACCUCGCCCUCGCCCCCGCCC
Molecule: long non-coding RNA, 230 nt
Filed under: Elaeis guineensis (African oil palm)
Lineage: Eukaryota; Viridiplantae; Streptophyta; Magnoliopsida; Arecales; Arecaceae
Description: long non-coding RNA (EGUI_LNC001623)
Source: RNAcentral